AACUUCUGAAUGUUGACCUCGGAUCAGGUAGGAAUACCCGCUGAACUUAAGCAUAUCAAUAAGCGGGAGGAA
RNAcentral lists this ribosomal RNA (72 nucleotides) under Fusarium sporotrichioides. RNAcentral's name for it is "partial 28S ribosomal RNA". Lineage: Eukaryota; Fungi; Ascomycota; Sordariomycetes; Hypocreales; Nectriaceae. The record is from RNAcentral.